This 279-nucleotide ribosomal RNA is filed under the name uncultured bacterium. RNAcentral describes it as "partial 16S ribosomal RNA". It matches the Rfam family "Bacterial small subunit ribosomal RNA", at positions 506 to 784 of the family's 1533-position model. The record is from RNAcentral.
UGCCAGCCGCCGCGGUAAUACGGAGGGUGCAAGCGUUAAUCGGAAUUACUGGGCGUAAAGCGCGCGUAGGCGGAUUGUUAAGUCUCAUGUGAAAGCCCUGGGCUCAACCUGGGAACUGCAUGGGAUACUGGCAAUCUAGAAUACAGUAGAGGGUAGUGGAAUUUCCAGUGUAGCGGUGAGAUGCGUAGAGAUUGGAAGGAACAUCAGUGGCGAAGGCGGCCACCUGGACUGAUACUGACGCUGAGGUGCGAAAGUGUGGGGAGCAAACAGGAUUAGAUA